This 440-nucleotide ribosomal RNA is filed under the name uncultured bacterium. RNAcentral's name for it is "bacterial SSU rRNA". It matches the Rfam family "Bacterial small subunit ribosomal RNA", at positions 338 to 781 of the family's 1533-position model. The record is from RNAcentral.
CCUACGGGGGGCAGCAGUGAGGAAUCUUGCCCAAUGGGGGCAACCCUGAGGCAGCAACGCCGCGUGGAGGAUGAAGGCGUUCGCGUCGUAAACUCCUUUUCGAGGUGAAGAAGGAGGGGAGACCCUCUUGACGGUAGCCUCGCAACAAGACACGGCUAACUACGUGCCAGCAGCCGCGGUAAUACGUAGGUGUCGAGCGUUAUCCGGAAUUACUGGGCGUAAAGGGCACGCAGGCGGUCGGGCGGGUCCCGCGUGAAAGCUCCCGGCUUAACUGGGAGAGGUCGUGGGAAACUGCCUGGCUGGAGGCAACCAGAGGAAAGCGGAAUUCCCGGUGGAGUGGUGGAAUGCGUAGAGAUCGGGAAGAACACCAGGGGCGCAGGCGGCUUUCUGGGGUUGUGCUGACGCUGAGGUGCGAAAGCGUGGGGAGCGAACGGGAUUAG